RNAcentral lists this ribosomal RNA (497 nucleotides) under uncultured bacterium. RNAcentral's name for it is "partial 16S ribosomal RNA". It matches the Rfam family "Bacterial small subunit ribosomal RNA", at positions 28 to 507 of the family's 1533-position model. The record is from RNAcentral.
GAUGAACGCUGGCGGCGUGCCUAAUACAUGCAAGUCGAGCGAACAGACGAGGAGCUUGCUCCUCUGACGUUAGCGGCGGACGGGUGAGUAACACGUGGAUAACCUACCUAUAAGACUGGGAUAACUUCGGGAAACCGGAGCUAAUACCGGAUAAUAUAUUGAACCGCAUGGUUCAAUAGUGAAAGACGGUUUUGCUGUCACUUAUAGAUGGAUCCGCGCCGCAUUAGCUAGUUGGUAAGGUAACGGCUUACCAAGGCAACGAUGCGUAGCCGACCUGAGAGGGGGAUCGGCCACACUGGAACUGAGACACGGUCCAGACUCCUACGAGAGGCAGCAGUAGGGAAUCUUCCGCAAUGGGCGAAAGCUUGACGGAGCAACGCCGCGUGAGUGAUGAAGGUCUUCGGAUCGUAAAACUCUGUUAUUAGGGAAGAACAAAUGUGUAAGUAACUAUGCACGUCUUGACGGUACCUAAUCAGAAAGCCACGGCUAACUACGUG